GCUUGUCUCAAAGAUUAAGCCAUGCAUGUCUAAGUAUAAACAAAUCUAUACGUGAAACUGCGAAUGGCUCAUUAUAUCAGUUAUAGUUUAUUUGAUGGUCCUUACUACUUGGAUAACCGUAGUAAUUCUAGAGCUAAUACAUGACUCAAAGACCGACUUACGAAGGUCUGUGUUUAUUAGAUGGAAACCAAUGCGGGGUAACCCGGAAUAUGGUGAUUCAUAAUAACUUUCGGAUCGAUUUAUCGAUGCAUCAUUCAAGUUUCUGCCCUAUCAGCUUUGGAUGGUAGGGUAUUGGCCUACCAUGGCUUUAACGGGUAACGGAGAAUUAGGGUUCGAUUCCGGAGAGGGAGCCUGAGAAAUGGCUACCACAUCCAAGGAAGGCAGCAGG
Molecule: ribosomal RNA, 388 nt
Filed under: uncultured Chrysophyceae
Lineage: Eukaryota; Chrysophyceae
Description: partial small subunit ribosomal RNA
Rfam family: Eukaryotic small subunit ribosomal RNA
Source: RNAcentral